UACGGGGGGAGCAAGCGUUGUUCGGAUUUACUGGGCGUAAAGGGCGCGUAGGCGGCCACUGCAAGUCAGUUGUGAAAUCUCCGGGCUUAACCCGGAAAGGUCAACUGAUACUGCAGGGCUAGAGUGCAGAAGGGGCAACUGGAAUUCCUGGUGUAGCGGUGAAAUGCGCAGAUAUCAGGAGGAACACCGGUGGCGAAGGCGGGUCUCUGGGCCGUAACUGACGCUGAGGAGCGAAAGCGUGGGGAGCGAACAGG
This 254-nucleotide ribosomal RNA is filed under the name uncultured bacterium. RNAcentral describes it as "partial 16S ribosomal RNA". It matches the Rfam family "Bacterial small subunit ribosomal RNA", at positions 524 to 776 of the family's 1533-position model. The record is from RNAcentral.